This 438-nucleotide ribosomal RNA is filed under the name Trinchesia speciosa. Its description in RNAcentral is "Tenellia speciosa partial 16S ribosomal RNA". It matches the Rfam family "Bacterial large subunit ribosomal RNA", at positions 1829 to 2597 of the family's 2925-position model. Lineage: Eukaryota; Metazoa; Mollusca; Gastropoda; Nudibranchia; Trinchesiidae. The record is from RNAcentral.
AGCCAUAAGUAAAUAUAUAUGGUUAUACCUGCCCAAUGUUUAUAAUGAAUGGCCGCGGUACUCUGACCGUGCUAAGGUAGCGUAAUAAUUUGACUUUUAAAUGGAGUCCUGUAUGAAUGGAUAAACCGGGUUUAGCUGUCUCAAAGGCAUUAUAUUGAAUUUACUAUCUAAGUGAAAAAGCUUAGGUAUAAUAAAAGGACGAGAAGACCCUUAAAAUUUUUUCUAGAUCAAUUUUAUAGUUGUUUUCGAUUUUGUUGGGGCGACAAAGAAAUAUUUAAAACUUUCUUUAAAUUUUAUGGGCCGGAAUUUUCAAGGUAGGAUAAAUUACUUAAGGGAUAACAGCAUAAUUCUAAAGUUGAGUUUGUGACCUCGAUGUUGGACUAGGGGGCUAAUAGGUUAGAUGCUUAUUGUGCGGAUUCUGUUCGAAUUAUAACUCCU